This 414-nucleotide ribosomal RNA is filed under the name uncultured microorganism. RNAcentral describes it as "bacterial SSU rRNA". It matches the Rfam family "Archaeal small subunit ribosomal RNA", at positions 459 to 872 of the family's 1478-position model. The record is from RNAcentral.
CAGCAGCCGCGGUAAUACCGGCGGCCCGAGUGGCGGUCACUAUUAUUGGGCUUAAAGCGUCCGUAGCCGGGUUGGGAAGUCCUCCGGGAAAUCUGGCCGCUUAACGGUCAGAAUGCCGGAGGAUACUCCCAGCCUAGGGAGCGGGAGAGGCCGAGGGGAUUCCCGGAGUAGGGGGGAAAUCCUAUAAUCCCGGGAGGACCACCUGUGGCGAAGGCGCUCGGCUGGGACGCGUCCGACGGUGAGGGACGAAGGCCAGGGGAGCAAACCGGAUUAGAUACCCGGGUAGUCCUGGCUGUAAACGAUGCGGACUUUGUGUCGGACAAGCUAUGAGCUUGUCCGGUGCCGGAGGGAAACCGUUAAGUCCGCCGCCUGGGGAGUACGGCCGCAAGGCUGAAACUUAAAGGAAUUGGCGGG